Molecule: long non-coding RNA, 200 nt
Filed under: Lathyrus oleraceus (garden pea)
Lineage: Eukaryota; Viridiplantae; Streptophyta; Magnoliopsida; Fabales; Fabaceae
Description: Pisum sativum (pea) long non-coding RNA (PSAT_LNC020538)
Source: RNAcentral
UUUCCAUGACUAUAAAUAUCAAUGCUACUUUGACUUUAUAAAUUUUGUCAUGGAUGCUACUUUACUACACCGUAGAAUAUAUAUUUUUUCUCUAAUAAGCCAUGUAAGUAGUAGCAUACAAUAUAUAUCAGCAUUGGUAAUUUUAGACAGUGUAUAAAUCAAAAUGAAAUUUAAUUUAACCAAUAAUGCGAGUAGCUUCA